This 497-nucleotide ribosomal RNA is filed under the name uncultured Sphingobacteriales bacterium. RNAcentral's name for it is "bacterial SSU rRNA". It matches the Rfam family "Bacterial small subunit ribosomal RNA", at positions 903 to 1382 of the family's 1533-position model. The record is from RNAcentral. Lineage: Bacteria; Pseudomonadati; Bacteroidota; Sphingobacteriia; Sphingobacteriales.
GCCAGCCCGCUCAGAACUACAAAGGAAUUGACGGGGGCCCGCACAAGCGGUGGAGCAUGUGGUUUAAUUCGAUGAUACGCGAGGAACCUUACCUGGGCUCAAAUGUAUGUUGACGUAUUCUGAAAGGGAUACUUCUUCGGACAAUAUACAAGGUGCUGCAUGGUUGUCGUCAGCUCGUGCCGUGAGGUGUCGGGUUAAGUCCCAUAACGAGCGCAACCCCUAUCAUUAGUUGCCAUCAGGUCAAGCUGGGGACUCUAAUGAAACUGCCUACGCAAGUAGUGAGGAAGGUGGGGAUGACGUCAAAUCAGCACGGCCCUUACGGCCUGGGCUACACACGUGCUACAAUGGUCGGUACAAAGGGUUGCCAAGCCGCGAGGUGGAGCUAAUCCCAUAAAACCGAUCGUAGUCCGGAUCGCAGUCUGCAACUCGACUGCGUGAAGUCGGAAUCGCUAGUAAUCGUGAAUCAGAAUGUCACGGUGAAUACGUUCCCGGGCCUU